RNAcentral lists this ribosomal RNA (468 nucleotides) under uncultured bacterium. RNAcentral describes it as "partial 16S ribosomal RNA". It matches the Rfam family "Bacterial small subunit ribosomal RNA", at positions 28 to 507 of the family's 1533-position model. The record is from RNAcentral.
GAUGAACGCUGGCGGCGUGCUUAACACAUGCAAGUCGAACGGUGAAGGCGGAGCUUGCUCUGCUGGACCAGUGGCGAACGGGUGAGUAACACGUGAGCAAUCUGCCCCUGACUCUGGGAUAAGCGCUGGAAACGGCGUCUAAUACUGGAUCCGAGCGGCGAAGGCAUCUUCAGCAGCUGGAAAGAACUUCGGUCAGGGAUGAGCGCGCGGCCUAUCAGCUUGUUGGUGAGGUAACGGCUCACCAAGGCGUCGACGGGUAGCCGGCCUGAGAGGGUGACCGGCCACACUGGGACUGAGACACGGCCCAGACUCCUACGGGAGGCAGCAGUGGGGAAUAUUGCACAAUGGGCGAAAGCCUGAUGCAGCAACGCCGCGUGAGGGACGACGGCCUUCGGGUUGUAAACCUCUUUUAGCAGGGAAGAAGCGAAAGUGACGGUACCUGCAGAAAAAGCGCCGGCUAACUACGUG